Molecule: ribosomal RNA, 484 nt
Filed under: uncultured bacterium
Lineage: Bacteria
Description: partial 16S ribosomal RNA
Rfam family: Bacterial small subunit ribosomal RNA
Source: RNAcentral
AUUGAACGCUGGCGGCAGGCCUAACACGUGCAAGUCGAGCGGAUGAAGGGAGCUUGCUCCUGGAUUCAGCGGCGGACGGGUGAGUAAUGCCUAGGAAUCUGCCUGGUAGUGGGGGAUAACGUCCGGAAACGGGCGCUAAUACCGCAUACGUCCUGAGGGAGAAAGUGGGGGAUCUUCGGACCUCACGCUAUCAGAUGAGCCUAGGUCGGAUUAGCUAGUUGGUGGGGUAAAGGCCUACCAAGGCGACGAUCCGUAACUGGUCUGAGAGGAUGAUCAGUCACACCGGAACUGAGACACGGUCCAGACUCCUACGGGAGGCAGCAGUGGGGAAUAUUGGACGAUGGGCGAAAGCCUGAUCCAGCCAUGCCGCGUGUGUGAAGAAGGUCUUCGGAUUGUAAAGCACUUUAAGUUGGGAGGAAGGGCAGUAAGUUAAUACCUUGCUGUUUUGACGUUACCAACAGAAUAAGCACCGGCUAACUUCGUG